This 253-nucleotide ribosomal RNA is filed under the name uncultured bacterium. RNAcentral describes it as "partial 16S ribosomal RNA". It matches the Rfam family "Bacterial small subunit ribosomal RNA", at positions 524 to 776 of the family's 1533-position model. The record is from RNAcentral.
UACGUAGGGUGCAAGCGUUGUCCGGAAUUAUUGGGCGUAAAGAGCUCGUAGGCGGUCUGUCACGUCGGCUGUGAAAACCCGAGGCUCAACCUCGGGCCUGCAGUCGAUACGGGCAAACUAGAGUACUGCAGGGGAGACUGGAAUUCCUGGUGUAGCGGUGAAAUGCGCAGAUACCAGGAGGAACACCGGUGGCGAAGGCGGGUCUCUGGGCAGUAACUGACGCUGAGGAGCGAAAGCGUGGGGAGCGAACAGG